Molecule: ribosomal RNA, 467 nt
Filed under: uncultured bacterium
Lineage: Bacteria
Description: partial 16S ribosomal RNA
Rfam family: Bacterial small subunit ribosomal RNA
Source: RNAcentral
GACGAACGCUGGCGGCGUGCUUAACACAUGCGAGUCGAACGGAAAGGCCCUGCUUUUGUGGGGUGCUCGAGUGGCGAACGGGUGAGUACACGUGAGUAACCUGCCCUUGACUUUGGGAUAACUUCAGGAAACUGGGGCUAAUACCGGAUAGGAGCUCCUGCUGCAUGGUGGGGGUUGGAAAGUUUCGGCGGUUGGGGAUGGACUCGCGGCUUAUCAGCUUGUUGGUGGGGUAGUGGCUUACCAAGGCUUUGACGGGUAGCCGGCCUGAGAGGGUGACCGGCCACAUUGGGACUGAGAUACGGCCCAGACUCCUACGGGAGGCAGCAGUGGGGAAUAUUGCACAAUGGGCGGAAGCCUGAUGCAGCAACGCCGCGUGCGGGAUGACGGCCUUCGGGUUGUAAACCGCUUUCGCCUGUGACGAAGCGUGAGUGACGGUAAUGGGUAAAGAAGCACCGGCUAACUACGUG